UACGUAGGGUGCAAGCGUUAAUCGGAAUUACUGGGCGUAAAGCGUGCGCAGGCGGUUUUGUAAGACAGAUGUGAAAUCCCCGGGCUCAACCUGGGAACUGCAUUUGGGACUGCAAGGCUGGAGUGUGGCAGAGGAGACUGGAAUUCCUGGUGUAGCAGUGAAAUGCGUAGAUAUCAGGAGGAACACCGAUGGCGAAGGCAGGUCUCUGGGCUGACACUGACGCUCAUGCACGAAAGCGUGGGGAGCAAACAGG
This 253-nucleotide ribosomal RNA is filed under the name uncultured bacterium. RNAcentral describes it as "partial 16S ribosomal RNA". It matches the Rfam family "Bacterial small subunit ribosomal RNA", at positions 524 to 776 of the family's 1533-position model. The record is from RNAcentral.